AGUGAACGCUGGCGGUAGGCCUAACACAUGCAAGUCGAACGGCAGCACAGUAAGAGCUUGCUCUUACGGGUGGCGAGUGGCGGACGGGUGAGGAAUACAUCGGCAUCUACUUUUUCGUGGGGGAUAACGUAGGGAAACUUACGCUAAUACCGCAUACGACCUACGGGUGAAAGCAGGGGAUCUUCGGACCUUGCGAGAUUGAAUGAGCCGAUGUCGGAUUAGCUAGUUGGGGGGGUAAAGGCCCACCAAGGCGACGAUCCAUAGCUGGUCUGAGAGGAUGAUCGGACACAGUGGGACUGAGAACAGGACCACACGCCUACGGGAGGCAGCAGUAGGGAAUAUUCGGAGAUGGAGGAAAGUCUGAACGAGCAAAGCAGCGUGAGUGAAGAAGGUUUUCGGAUCGUAAAACUCUGUUGGUAGAGAAGAACGUUGGUGAGAGUGGAAAGCUCAGCAAGUGAGGGUAACUAACCAGAAAGGGAGGGCUAACUACGUG
RNAcentral lists this ribosomal RNA (493 nucleotides) under uncultured bacterium. RNAcentral's name for it is "partial 16S ribosomal RNA". It matches the Rfam family "Bacterial small subunit ribosomal RNA", at positions 29 to 507 of the family's 1533-position model. The record is from RNAcentral.